CCUACGGGAGGCAGCAGUGAGGAAUAUUGGUCAAUGGACGAGAGUCUGAACCAGCCAAGUAGCGUGAAGGAUGACUGCCCUAUGGGUUGUAAACUUCUUUUAUAAAGGAAUAAAACGAGGCACGUGUGCCUUUUCGCAUUUACUUUAUGAAUAAGGAUCGGCUAACUCCGUGCCAGCAGCCGCGGUAAUACGGAGGAUCCGAGCGUUAUCCGUUUUUAUUUGGUUGAAAGGGAGCGUAGAUGGGUUGUUAAGUCAGUUGUGAAAGUUUGCGGCUCAACCGUAGAAUUGCAAUGGAUACUGGAAGUCGUGAGUGCAGUUGAGGUAGGCGGAAUUCGAGGUGUAGCGGUGAAAUGCGUAGAGAGAUGGAAGAACCCCAAUGGCGAAGGCAGCUUACUAAUCUGUAACUGACGUUGAUGUUCGAAAGUGUGGGUAUCAAACAGGAUUAGAUACCCUAGUAGUC
This 460-nucleotide ribosomal RNA is filed under the name uncultured bacterium. RNAcentral describes it as "partial 16S ribosomal RNA". It matches the Rfam family "Bacterial small subunit ribosomal RNA", at positions 338 to 795 of the family's 1533-position model. The record is from RNAcentral.